CGUCGUCUGCAAACGCGAGGAAUAUUUAGUUGUGUAAGGAUGGCUGAGAAAUAUCUCCCUCACUACGCAGAAGGUGAAGUGGUCAAAGGAUUUGGUCGUGGCAGCAAGGAGCUCGGUAUUCCAACAGCCAACUUCCCCGAGAAUGUUGUGGAGAAGCUUCCGGCAGAUAUGCCCACUGGCGUCUACUACGGCUGGGCCAACGUUGACGGUGGAGAAGUACACAAGAUGUGUAUGAGUGUGGGCUGGAACCCAUACUACAAGAACACCAAGAAGACAAUGGAAACUCACAUAAUGCACAAGUUCCAGGAUGAUUUUUAUGGAUCAAGGCUGAAGAUUGUAAUGGUUGGCUACAUCCGCCCCAUGUCAACAUUUGUUUCUCUAGAUGAAUUGAUAACGGCAAUAAAAAACGAUAUAUCAGAAACGGACAGAAAGCUACAAGAGCCCGAGACGCAGCACUAUAAAGACAACAACUUCUUCGCGUCGUCUUGAUGAUGGCUUCCUGUAGACAUCUCACACAGUAGUCUCAUUAAAUCAGAACAGCCUCUAUGUAUCACUGCAUGAACAUUAUCAAACCAUCCACUGUAGGCCAUUUCCUGUCUAUUACAGUUUGUUUCUUGGUCAUUAUGAUUUGGAAACUUGGCUUUAAGAAACAAACCCCUGAUAUGAUUUUAACUGCAUAAUCCUUUUGUUAGAGAUGGUUGGUACUACUCGGAAAUAAUAAGUGAUGUACUCAGUAUCCACCACAAUGUUAGUGGUAGUGCCUUUUUUUUUCAUUUGGAACUGUCCUUUUAUAUUUGUUUUUGAGAUAUGAAAAUCAGACAUGGUGGUCUGACAGCUUUGUUUGCUUGUUACAAGAUUCAAAAAACUUUGGCUGAUUAGAAUGAUAUGCUCUGGUGGGACAGUUUUUCAAAUUUUCAUGUGGAGGUACAUUUCAUCCGAGUGAAAGAGUUACCCAGAGCAUUGCAUUUUGGCAACCUGGAUAUUAUGUUUUACUAUGUUGUUAGUGAAGAAAUGCUAAAGACUUAUGGAUUUCAAAAGGUAAAGUCAGUAUUUCAUGUGAGUGCUAUCCCCUGUAUGCCAAGUCAACCUUCAGUGGGCAUCAAUAAGGCUGAUAUUAGUAGCAAGCGAUAUUCGGAACAUUUGGCUUUUUGUGCCUAAUAACAAUUUUAUCUCAUUUUGUCAUAACUGGUAACAUUUCUUUCCAAAAUGUUUGAUUUCAGAUUUUGUCUGAAAAACUGUACAAUUGUAACUGAUUAGCCACGACUGUACAGGUGUAACUGAUUUAUCCGCGACUGUACAGGUGUAACUGAUUUAUCAGCGACUGUACAGGUGUAACUCAUUUGUCCCCAACUGUUCAGGUAUCCGGUAGCUGAUUAGCCGAAAACUGCACAGGUGUAACUGAUUUGUCAACAACUGUACAGGUGUACCAGGUAACUGAUGAGCCAAAAACUGUACAAGUGUAACUGAUUAGUCACGACUGUACAGUUGUAACUGAUUAAAUACGACUGUACAGGUGUAACUGAUUUGUCCACAACUGUACAGUUGUACCUGGUAACAGAUUAGCCACAACCGUACAGGUGUAACUGAUUUAGCAAUGCAUGUUGUGCUCAGUCUUCCACUUGUCAACAUUGUGCCCAAGAAUGUGUGUGAUCUUAUACAGCAGAAUCUCUAUGAAUUUGAACUGACAAAAAUUGUUUGGUUUUGUGCUUUUGGAUGAUCGGGUUUGAUUUCAAGCAUGCAAAAGUGCAACCUAUUAUUGAAAAAAGCUGCCAGAUAUUUAUGUCAGCUUGAAUUUAAGUGCAUUUAAUAUAAUUCAAGAUGCCAAGCAUCUCUUUAGUAUAUGAAAAUACUGAUCUCAAAGGUAAUACAGGUAUGCAGGCUGAAAAAGUUCAAUUGAAUGAAGGUCUGUUCAUUAUUACAGGUAUGUAUGCAGACUAGGAUCAGAUGUAUCAUUACGUUGUUUGAUAUGUUGUCAUUAUGUUGGGUAAGUAAGCCCAUUACAUGAACUCAAAUGACAGUAAGUCAACUGACCAAGGUGUUAAACCUAUUACAGAUAGAAAUUUCAAUGAAAUGAAGUAAAAAAAGUUUCAGUGAAUUUUCACUCGAGUGGAAAUGUCAAUCUUAAUAACAUUCACCUUAUAAUUUAAUUGAUUCAAUUCAGAUAACCAUUAUUUUCAUUCCCAACAGGACAUACGUGUAAACAUUUGCAACCAUUAUCAAGUUGUUAGCAUUUUGGACACAACAUGUUGCAAUUCAUUACAGACUGUUGAUAUUAUUUUGCUGUGCAAACUUACUGUGUUCAUUAAUACUUGGUUGAUGGGUACUUUUGUUGAGAGCUGCAUAGUUGGGCUCUUGUUUCUCAGUACCUGGUUCUUGUAGGACCUGAGUGUGUGUUAUAUAACGUAUAUCCUGGCAAUACGGGGAAUAUGGACAUAAUAGUCAGUGUUUUUGUCAAUCCCUUUCUCCCUGUUGCACAAUGUUGCAUAACACCAGUGUUAUAAAUUUGGAUCCUGGGUC
RNAcentral lists this unclassified non-coding RNA (2517 nucleotides) under Haliotis rubra (blacklip abalone). RNAcentral's name for it is "riboflavin kinase-like, transcript variant X1". Lineage: Eukaryota; Metazoa; Mollusca; Gastropoda; Lepetellida; Haliotidae. The record is from RNAcentral.